This 641-nucleotide long non-coding RNA is filed under the name Vitis vinifera (wine grape). Its description in RNAcentral is "long non-coding RNA (VVIN_LNC006817)". The record is from RNAcentral. Lineage: Eukaryota; Viridiplantae; Streptophyta; Magnoliopsida; Vitales; Vitaceae.
GGGCAACAGCACUGAUGACUGCCGAAAUUGAGGCAUGUAGAGACGAUAGAACCCCAGAGAUAUCUCUUCAUAAGAAAGUCCAGAAAGAGUGGGCUUGUGCUGUAUGCCUGCUCACAACCCAAAGUGAGGCUACCUUGAAUUCCCAUCUUCAAGGGAAGAGACAUCAGGCCACUUCUGAGCAGCUGAAAGCCAAAAACCAGGCAACCAAAGACAAUGGUUCCCCAUCUGCUUCAAUGGCCAAGAUAUCUGAUCAGUCCACCAAAGAGGAGCAACCGAAGUGUACUUCCAACAAUCUGAAUUCUAAAAACAAUGGAAUCUCAGCUGCUUCAACAGUGAAGAAACCAGAUGAGACCAAAGAUGAUAAGCGACAAAAGUGUGCAUCUAGCAAUGGACCGAACCAGAAGAAUAAAAAAGUGUGGGCUUGUGCUCUAUGCCAGGUCACAACCCAAAGUGAGGCUACCUUGAAUUCCCAUCUUCAAGGAAAGAGACAUCAGGCCACUUCUGAGCAGCUGAAAGCCAAAAACCAGGCAAUCAAAACCAAUGGCUCCCCAUCUGCUUCAAUGGCCAAGAAAUCUGAUGGGUCCACCAAAGAGGAGCAACUGAAGUGUACUUCCAACAAUCUGAAUUCCAAAAACAAUGGC